Molecule: long non-coding RNA, 3445 nt
Organism: Ahaetulla prasina
Lineage: Eukaryota; Metazoa; Chordata; Lepidosauria; Squamata; Colubridae
Exons: 3
Source: RefSeq, a predicted model, not a curated record
GGAACCACUGCCUCCCCUGAAGUGCAAGCUGGGAGCGUAGUAAGAAUUUUGCUUAUACAUAUUAAAGGAAAAUGCUUUGACAUGUGGAAACAGCCAGGAGCAGCUAUCAAAGCAGCUGCACUAUCUGGAAAAAGGACAUGGCCACUUUAAUCAUCCAAAGACACAUGGGUCCUUGCAUGUUCCUAUGCAUUGUGAAGCACCAUGUCUGAAGAAUAUGCACAGCCUUAUAUAAAUCCCACGGAUGACUUUACUUAGAGGCUUUAUGUAGACACAGGAUUGGGGACAGCAUUGAGGAUACCCAUCAAGCAAGAACUACAGGCUAGACUUCUCUCCCUCCAGCACUGCCAACACUGACCAGAAUCAGCCCCAAAGGAAGAAGACAGAACUAGCACAGAACAGCUCUGCCCAUUCCUAACACUCAGAUCAAAUCCAGAAAGAUGUCACGAUUGAAGGCAUGGAGGCCACUGAGAGAUCAGGAAAAGCAAGGCUAAACACAUUAUUCUUAGCCCACUCCUGGGAUAAGAGGAUCCCACAGGUCACCCAUAAGCACAAGCGCUGCUGUUUCAAUCCCGAAUCCCAACUGAAAGGAGUCCAGAUAAUCUACUUCCUCCAGCAUUCUCUGGAGCUGCCAUCUUCUCAAUAAUCAUCAAAGUUGGGCAAAAAACCCUGGACAACCAUUGUCCAGCAUGAUUUGGAUUUUUAAGCCAAGAACGGCGACAAUACAGCAAUCUGUGCUACAAGCCCUACCAUUGCUUGUAGACAUUCCUAACUGAUAGAUCACUUUUUCAAAAAGAAAAACUAUAGCAAAUUGCUUUUACAUCCUUGGGUGUCAUUCUUAAAGCAACUGAUUCACGGAAGGAGAAUGGUAUUUUUGUGUCCAGUUUCAAGAUACAAAAACAGCUGAACUGAGCCUUUCUCUUCGAAGGUUUUAAUAUUAUAUAUCUAUUGUCAAUAUAUGUUCACAGAUAAUGCUUCCAGUGCAAAUAUUUUUGUUCAUACAUUUCUAUGAAAGCCACUUGCGGGAAUCCAUUUGGGUUUGCUUUUAUUUCAUUUCCUCGGUUUACUGUCUAAUCACUGCAGUUUAUUUUAAGGUAAAUGUUUAACAAAUUGAAUCCAAUUCUCAGAAAACCAAAUCUGGACCUAUCCAUUUCUGCAUAAUCCACCCUUAUCCUCUGCUAUAGAGACACACUUGGAAUGUCCAGAGGUCGUAUCAUCAUCUCAAGUGGCAAACUCAGUGCAUAAAGCUGGUAAGAUUUCUCCCUCCUUAAAUAGUGUCAUGGAAUGAACAUAAAGGAGAAGGAACACAUUAUCUUAUACAGGCAGUUCUUACUUAACGAUGGUAGCCCUGUCACUAAGCAGCAUGGUUAUAAAUGUGAUGUCAUGUGAUCACACUGACUUAACGAUGGUGGCUAUCACAGUCCCAGUUGCCGUUGUUAGGCAGUUCCAGGAAGUUGUAGCAUUCACAGUCAUAUCAUCACUAUUAGCAAUGUCCUAUCAUUGACUUUGUGUGAAGAAGCUAGCAAUGAAGGUUGCAAAUGGCAAUGACAUGACCGUAUCAUGCUGCAACAUUGUAAUUAAAUUUUCUUUAAUGAUACAAUAAAUAAAAAUCAAGGAACCCAUAUAUUCCAAGGGAACUCAAAACCAUAGAUUUUGGACAUCUCCAGAAAUGCAAUUCUAAAGAUACUUGAUUUUGGAGUUUAAAUUUAAAUUGCAGGCAUGGUAGUUUUAUUCUGCCUCUGCACAGCAGGAGAAUUUAUGUUAAUGAUUUGAGGGACUACAGACACAGAAAUGAGUUAAAACUUGGACCUUGAAAUUAAUGCUCUUCCACAGAAGUAAUUAGAGCUUCCUGUAAUUGGAUCAUACUUUUUGCCAUGAGUGUUUCCUGUUAUUAUAUUAUGUAUUAUUGUACACUGUAUUCAUUUUAUGUAUAUUAUAAAUCAUUAUAUAUUAUUUCUAUCCCACCAUUCCAUCCAGAGGAAAUUCAUAAGGGAUAACAAUUUCAGAAAAGCAUAAAUUGUUGAAACUGAUUAAAACAGUUAAAAUCAAUUAUACACAAACUCAAGCAGGAAAACCCUGGUUGGAGAGGUUCCACAACAUAAUUAUAUGCUUCUUACAUCAUGCACCAGUUAACAGCAUUUUGUACCAACUACCCACAGUUUCACUAUGUGCAAAACGCACUGCAGACGUCUAGGUGGGAAAUAAUCAAUUGCCAAGUCCAGCACUAUCUGAUUGACUUAGAAACAGUCCCGGUUAGUGCACAUCUUGCUCUCAUAUAGGAAUCUAAAAAACAACAACAACUAAAGAGCUUAAUGAGUACUUUACAACCCGAGACCUAAAGUUACAGGAAGUAGACCAGCUCCUUUACAAUAAGCUGAAUCCUACUCCUAUAGUCUAUUUUUCUACUGAUUUUCAGCAUUUCUCAGUUUUUGGUUUGGGAUUUUAUUUGAACUUGUCGACCUUGAUACAGCCAAUUUCUGAACUUAGAUAUCAAUCCUCAAACUCCAUUGCUUUCAAAUUAGAAGGUAAGGAAGAGUAGAAUUGGGUGUCAUCAGCAUGCUAGAACUACAACUAGACAAUAUGGAAAGAUUUUGCCCAUAGUUUCAAAGUAGAAAUUGUUUAGGGGACCAUCUGGAGCAGUGGUGGGUUACCCCCCGGUUCAGUCCAGUUCUAUAGAACCAGUAGUAAAACUGGCUGGAGGCUCCGUCUACCCACCACCACGUCAUCACCGGUGAUCUGUGCAUGCGCAGAAGCUUCUGGGCAUGUGCAGAAGAGCGUGCACGAGAGCAAAGCAAGCUCUCAUUGCAAACCGGUAGUAAAGGUAAGUAGAACCCACCCCUGAUCUGGAGUCAUACAAGGCAUCACAAAUACAAAGGCCUAGGAACUGUAUAGGAAUUUCAUGACAUGGAUCAACAAAAAGAACCAGAACCAUUUGCAAAAUAGUCUUGUCUUGGUGAGGCUUAGUCUCACCAGAUAAUAUAAAUAGAAUUGAAAUCCAAGAAAAAGUCCAAGAACACUGGCCAUGCUUCCACAUAGGGCAUAGUACCUUGAGAAUGGCCAAAGUCUCCAAACACAGUUGAAAGCCCAGUUGAAAUGUGUUCAAAUAAGCAGUGUCCAAGCCCACUGUGUCCUGUCAGCAUAGCCAAUGACAGUUUUUCAGCUCUUCUCAAUCAAAUGAAGGCUUUUUAACAAUAAUCAAUAUAUAAUUAAUAAUAUAAUAAUAUUUAAUGUAUUAAUAUUUAAUGUAAUUAAUGUAUAAUUACAUUAAAUUAUAAUGUAAUAUAUAUUACAUUAUAAUAUAACUCCACCGCCUUCGACAUGACCUGAGUUUAACUCAUAGAAUCAUCUAUUACAAUGUCCUUCCAGUCAAAGACUACUUCAGCUUCAAUUGCAACAAUUCACGAGCACACAAUAGAUUUAAGCUUAAUGUUAACGGCUCCAAUCUUGA